RNAcentral lists this ribosomal RNA (789 nucleotides) under uncultured bacterium. RNAcentral's name for it is "bacterial SSU rRNA". It matches the Rfam family "Bacterial small subunit ribosomal RNA", at positions 8 to 794 of the family's 1533-position model. The record is from RNAcentral.
AGAGUUUGAUCCUGGCUCAGGACGAACGCUGGCGGCGCGCCUAACACAUGCAAGUCGAACGGAGUUAUUUAAUCGGAAGUUUUCGGAUGGAAGAUUAAGUAGCUUAGUGGCGAACGGGUGAGUAACACGUGAAGAACCUGCCCUUCAGUGGGGGACAACAGUUGGAAACGACUGCUAAUACCGCAUAAGACCACAGUACCGCAUGGUACCGUGAUCAAAGGAUUUAUUCGCUGAAGGAUGGCUUCGCGCCCGAUUAGAUAGUUGGUGAGGUAAUGGCUCACCAAGUCAACGAUCGGUAGCCGGACUGAGAGGUUGAUCGGCCACAUUGGGACUGAGACACGGCCCAGACUCCUACGGGAGGCAGCAGUGGGGAAUAUUGCACAAUGGAGGAAACUCUGAUGCAGCGACGUCGCGUGAGGGAAGAAGGUCUUCGGAUUGUAAACCUCUGUCUUCAGGGACGAUAAUGACGGUACCUGAGGAGGAAGCACCGGCUAACUACGUGCCAGCAGCCGCGGUAAAACGUAGGGUGCAAGCGUUGUCCGGAAUUACUGGGUGUAAAGGGAGCGCAGGCGGACCUGUAAGUUGGGAGUGAAAUACAUGGGCUCAACCCAUGAACUGCUUUCAAAACUAUAGGUCUUGAGUGGUGCAGAGGUAGGCGGAAUUCCCGGUGUAGCGGUGGAAUGCGUAGAUAUCGGGAGGAACACCAGUGGUGAAGGCGGCCUACUGGGCACUAACUGACGCUGAGGCUCGAAAGCAUGGGUAGCAAACAGGAUUAGAUACCCCGGUAGU